CACAGAGUUAGCCGGUGCUCUUCUGAGGGUAACGUCAUUAUCCUCCCCUCUGAAAGUGCUUUACAACCCGCAGGCCUUCUUCACACACGCGGCAUUGCUGGAUCAGGCUUUCGCCCAUUGUCCAAUAUUCCCC
RNAcentral lists this ribosomal RNA (133 nucleotides) under uncultured bacterium. RNAcentral's name for it is "partial 16S ribosomal RNA". The record is from RNAcentral.